UGAGGAAUAUUGGUCAAUGGACGUGAGUCUGAACCAGCCAAGUCGCGUGAAGGAAGAAGGUUCUAUGGAUUGUAAACUUCUUUUAUACGGGAAUAAAGUGCGCCACGUGUGGUGUUUUGUAUGUACCGUAUGAAUAAGCAUCGGCUAACUCCGUGCCAGCAGCCGCGGUAAUACGGAGGGUGCGAGCGUUAUCCGGAUUUAUUGGGUUUAAAGGGUGCGUAGGUUGUUUUUUGAAGUCAGCGGUGGAAGUUUGUGGCUCAACCAUAAAAUUGCCGUUGAAACUGGAAGACUUGAGUGUGUUUGAGGUAGGCGGAAUGCGUGGUGUAGCGGUGAAAUGCAUAGAUAUCGCGCAGAACUCCGAUUGCGAAGGCAGCCUACCGGCUCCAGACUGACGCUGAGGCACGAAAGCGUGGGUAUCGAACAGGAUUAGAUACC
Molecule: ribosomal RNA, 435 nt
Filed under: uncultured bacterium
Lineage: Bacteria
Description: bacterial SSU rRNA
Rfam family: Bacterial small subunit ribosomal RNA
Source: RNAcentral